UACGGAGGAUCCAAGCGUUAUCCGGAUUUAUUGGGUUUAAAGGGUGCGUAGGCGGACGUUUAAGUCAGUGGUGAAAGUUUGCAGCUCAACUGUAAAAUUGCCAUUGAAACUGAAUGUCUUGAGUGUAAAUGAGGUAGGCGGAAUGUGUUGUGUAGCGGUGAAAUGCUUAGAUAUGACACAGAACACCGAUUGCGAAGGCAGCUUACUAAGAUACAACUGACGCUGAGGCACGAAAGCGUGGGGAUCGAACAGGAUUAGAUACCCUGGUAGUCCACGCAGUAAACGAUGAUUACUAGCUGUUUGCGAUAUACUGUAAGUGGCUAAGCGAAAGCGAUAAGUAAUCCACCUGGGGAGUACGUUCGCAAGAAUGAA
Molecule: ribosomal RNA, 372 nt
Filed under: uncultured bacterium
Lineage: Bacteria
Description: bacterial SSU rRNA
Rfam family: Bacterial small subunit ribosomal RNA
Source: RNAcentral